AAGUAAAAGUCGUAACAAGGUCUCCGUUGGUGAACCAGCGGAGGGAUCAUUACCGAGUUUACAACUCCCAAACCCAUGUGAACAUACCUACUGUUGCUUCGGCGGGAUUGCCCCGGGCGCCUCGUGUGCCCCGGAUCAGGCGCCCGCCUAGGAAACUUAACUCUUGUUUUAUUUUGGAAUCUUCUGAGUAGUUUUUACAAAUAAAUAAAAACUUUCAACAACGGAUCUCUUGGUUCUGGCAUCGAUGAAGAACGCAGCGAAAUGCGAUAAGUAAUGUGAAUUGCAGAAUUCAGUGAAUCAUCGAAUCUUUGAACGCACAUUGCGCCCGCCAGUAUUCUGGCGGGCAUGCCUGUCUGAGCGUCAUUUCAACCCUCAUGCCCCUAGGGCGUGGUGUUGGGGAUCGGCCAAAGCCCGCGAGGGACGGCCGGCCCCUAAAUCUAGUGGCGGACCCGUCGUGGCCUCCUCUGCGAAGUAGUGAUAUUCCGCAUCGGAGAGCGACGAGCCCCUGCCGUUAAACCCCCAACUUUCCAAGGUUGACCUCAGAUCAGGUAGGAAUACCCGCUGAACUUAAGCA
This 574-nucleotide ribosomal RNA is filed under the name aff. Clonostachys sp. RNAcentral describes it as "eukaryotic LSU rRNA". The stretch from base 210 to 363 matches the Rfam family "5.8S ribosomal RNA". The record is from RNAcentral. Lineage: Eukaryota; Fungi; Ascomycota; Sordariomycetes; Hypocreales; Bionectriaceae.